RNAcentral lists this ribosomal RNA (800 nucleotides) under uncultured bacterium. Its description in RNAcentral is "bacterial SSU rRNA". It matches the Rfam family "Bacterial small subunit ribosomal RNA", at positions 8 to 822 of the family's 1533-position model. The record is from RNAcentral.
AGAGUUUGAUCCUGGCUCAGAACGAACGUUGAUGGCGUGCCUCAUACAUGCAAGUCGAGCGCCCCGCAAGGGGAGCGGCGGACGGGUGAGUAACACGUAAAGAAUCUGCCCUAAGGUGGGGAAUAACUAUCCCAACGGAUAGCUAAUACCGCAUAAGGAUGGGAGUGGCAUCACUCCUUCUCGAAAGAUUUAUCGCCUUAGGAUGACUUUGCGUCCCAUUAGCUUGUUGGCGGUGUAACGGACCACCAAGGCGACGAUGGGUAUCCGGCCUGAGAGGGUGUACGGACACAUUGGGACUGAGAUACGGCCCAGACUCCUACGGGAGGCGGCAGUAGGGAAUUUUGCGCAAUGGAGGAAACUCUGACGCAGCAACGCCAUGUGUGGGAUGAAGCAUUUCGGUGUGUAAACCACUGUCAGCGGGGAAUAAAUGGUCUCUUCGGAGGCAGUUGAAUGUACCCGCAAAGGAAGCCCCGGCUAACUUCGUGCCAGCAGCCGCGGUAAUACGAGGGGGGCAAAUGUUGUUCGGAAUCACUGGGCGUAAAGGGAGCGUAGGCGGGCUUUUAAGUUAGGUGUUUAAUCCCGGGGCCCAACCCCGGACAGGCACCUAAAACUGGGAGUCUUGAAUAGUGGAGAGGACGGCGGAACUGGGGGUGUAGCGGUGGAAUGCGUAGAGAUCCCCAAGAACACCAGUUGCGAAGGCGGCCGUCUGGACACAUAUUGACGCUGAGGCUCGAAAGCAUGGGGAGCAAACAGGAUUAGAUACCCUGGUAGUCCAUGCUAUAAACGAUGAAUACUAGGUU